Molecule: transfer RNA, 87 nt
Filed under: PVC group bacterium
Lineage: Bacteria; Pseudomonadati
Description: tRNA-Leu
Rfam family: tRNA
About the family: Transfer RNA (tRNA) molecules are approximately 80 nucleotides in length. Their secondary structure includes four short double-helical elements and three loops (D, anti-codon, and T loops).
Source: RNAcentral
GCCCGGGUGGCGGAAUCGGCAGACGCAACGGACUUAAAAUCCGUUGUCCGAAAGGACGUGCGGGUUCAAGUCCCGCCCCGGGCACCA